Molecule: long non-coding RNA, 1242 nt
Filed under: Homo sapiens (human)
Lineage: Eukaryota; Metazoa; Chordata; Mammalia; Primates; Hominidae
Description: HSALNT0351306
Source: RNAcentral
GUCUUUCCUGUGCUGUUCUCAUGACAGUGAAUGUGUCUCAUGAGAUCUGAUGGUUUUAAAAGUGGGAGUUUCUCUGCACGAGCUCUCUUUUUUGCCUGCCGCUAUCCAUGUAAGAUGUGACUUGCUCCUCCUUGCCUUCCACCAUGAUUGUGAGGCCUCCCCAGCCACAUGGAACUGCUCAUAGGAAGAAGGGAUUUGCCUUGUCUCAGAUGAGAUUUUGGACUGUGGACUUUUGAGUUAAUGCCGAACCAUGUAAGAUGUGCCUGCUUCCCCUUCUCCUUCUGCCAUGAUUAUAAGUUUCCUGAGACCUCCCCAGCUCUGCUUCCUGCACAGCCUGUGGAACUAUACCGUGCUGCUUUGGACAACUCAACCUGCCCUGGACAGUGUGGGGGCCCAGACUCUAGUUGAUUCAUUUUUGCCUUUGCCAUGGCACCAAGCACAGAACCUUUCACAAAAUAGGUUGCUGAGCAAGGAAAGAAAUCCGUCUCCCUCCAUCGGUGGAUGAUGGGUUGAUAGAAGAUGAACUGGACUGUACUGUCAGCGGAGCCCGAGUUACGAAUCUGCAGGAGUCAACAGGAAAGUAGAAGUAAUGUGACAGUGCGGUGCUUUCUGGUCCCUUGCAGCUUCGAACAAGAGUAUAUGGUAGUGCUGAUGGUUUUAGGCUGUGUGAGGGACUGCACUGCGGGAGAAGUGGCAAUGGCAGUAUCAUGUAUCCUACCAUUUUACCAGUGAAUGGUCCUUGCAUAAGCUUUCACUAUCAUUAUCUUCUGAGUUCUGUUGCCACAGAGCAAGGGAGAACAAUAUCUCAAUUUGUGAUUUCACUAUCAUCUUAUUCCAAGCCUGUAUUCCCUUUCCGUCCUUUAUUUCCAACCUCUUUGGUAUAAUAGAUAAAAUUAUGUGGAUUUUAAAAUGUAGAUUCAGAAAUAGACAAUUUGUUCUAAGAAAAUUAUAUACUGCAGAAAAUAAAAGAUACUGGUUUUGGUUAAGAAAAAAGACGAGUUGAAGAAUUAAAUAACACUUCCCAUUCAGAGACACAUAUUGGGCUUCUUGUCCAUUUAGUGUGCGAAGUUACCAACUAGAUGCUUGCUAAAAGGCAAACUUCUGGGCCCAUGCCCAGCGAACUAGGUAAUUCAAAUGUUGAUGGUUUAAGAAUCAAACUGAAAACACAAAUUUAUGUCAUAAAAACGAUUACUUACUUAAAAACAAUUUAUUUGCUUUUAAAUAAAACUGGUACUUAAUGGA